Molecule: long non-coding RNA, 659 nt
Filed under: Sinocyclocheilus anshuiensis
Lineage: Eukaryota; Metazoa; Chordata; Actinopteri; Cypriniformes; Cyprinidae
Description: lncRNA (ENSSANG00000016181.1)
Source: RNAcentral
AGCGAUCUCUUGUGUGAACCGAUUCAUUGUCAACACUCAAACGAUUCAUUCCUGCAUCAGAUGUUUGACGUGGCGUUACGUUUGUUGCCAUAAAUAUUGCCAACUCCGAUAUCAAUACAGCCGACGAGUUGAUUGGGAUAGCAGUGAAAUCUACUGGAUUCACACUGGUUAAAAGGCCUUAAAGAGGAUUGGGUUUGACUGUUUGGGUUUGACUCCUCAAUCUGACCCUCAGUUAUCUGCUACUGAUCCAGCUUUCUCGUGUCAGUCAAUAACGUACAGCCUGGUUUUCCAUUAGAUGAGACCUCUGACAUUCAGAAGCAAGCAGGAGGACACGAACAAAGACAACAAAAGGAAAAAAUGCAGUCCGUGGAUGAUAUGGCGCUCGGAUUGAAGCCAGACGCAGAGUCGAGAGAGACCCGCAUGGCUGGCAGCUGUUGAUGAGUGCGGCUUAUGGUCAUUUCCAAUUCAUCUCUAUACCGAAAGGUUCAGAUGUUCUCUUCACCACAGGGAUUUUCGCUGAGGAUACACGCCAGUGCUCCGACCAGCCUGGGGCCACGCAGACCAAAAUUCCAUCAACAAGACAUUUCUGUGGUCUUGAGAGUUUUCCAAACGUAAACCAUGAUAUUGAGCUUCCCACCCUGAUAACGAGUCCAUUAUAG